This 65-nucleotide transfer RNA is filed under the name Elliptorhina davidi. Its description in RNAcentral is "tRNA-Cys". The record is from RNAcentral. Lineage: Eukaryota; Metazoa; Arthropoda; Insecta; Blattodea; Blaberidae.
GGUCUUAUAUUCAUUUAAUGAUAAUAGAAUGCAAUUCUAUAGGAGUAGAAUACCUACUAAGGCUU